UGGGGAAUAUUGGACAAUGGGCGAAAGCCUGAUCCAGCCAUGCCGCGUGGGUGAAGAAGGCCUUAGGGUUGUAAACCCCUUUCAGCGGGGAAGAUAAUGACGGUACCCGCAGAAGAAGUCCCGGCUAACUCCGUGCCAGCAGCCGCGGUAAUACGGAGGGGACUAGCGUUGUUCGGAAUUACUGGGCGUAAAGCGCACGUAGGCGGAUUUGUAAGUCAGGGGUGAAAUCCUGGAGCUCAACUCCAGAACUGCCUUUGAUACUGAGGAUCUUGAGUUCGGGAGAGGUGAGUGGAACUGCGAGUGUAGAGGUGAAAUUCGUAGAUAUUCGCAAGAACACCAGUGGCGAAGGCGGCUCACUGGCCCGAUACUGACGCUGAGGCACGAAAGCGUGGGGAGCAAACAGGAUUAGAUACCCGUGUAGUCC
Molecule: ribosomal RNA, 424 nt
Filed under: uncultured bacterium
Lineage: Bacteria
Description: bacterial SSU rRNA
Rfam family: Bacterial small subunit ribosomal RNA
Source: RNAcentral